This 380-nucleotide ribosomal RNA is filed under the name Saccharomycodes ludwigii. Its description in RNAcentral is "eukaryotic LSU rRNA". It matches the Rfam family "Eukaryotic large subunit ribosomal RNA", at positions 2971 to 3344 of the family's 3401-position model. The record is from RNAcentral. Lineage: Eukaryota; Fungi; Ascomycota; Saccharomycetes; Saccharomycodales; Saccharomycodaceae.
UCGUGAGACAGGUUAGUUUUACCCUACUGAUGAAUGUUAUCGCAAUAGUAAUUGAACUUAGUACGAGAGGAACAGUUCAUUCAGAUAAUUGGUUUUUGCGGCUGUCUGAUCAGGCAUUGCCGCGAAGCUACCAUCUGUUGGAUUAUGGCUGAACGCCUCUAAGUCAGAAUCCAUGCUAGAAAGCGAUGAUUUCUUUUCUCUCACACAUCAUAGAUGGAUAAUAAUAAGGCACCUUUUUGGUGUCGCUGAACCAUAGCAGGUGAGCACUGGUGUACUUAGCGGAAAGGCUUUGUGCACUUGCCCACGGAUUGCAAUGUCAUUUUGCGUGAGGAUAAAUCAUUUGUAGACGACUUAAAUGUACAACGGGGUAUUGUAAGCAG